RNAcentral lists this ribosomal RNA (468 nucleotides) under uncultured bacterium. RNAcentral's name for it is "SSU rRNA". It matches the Rfam family "Bacterial small subunit ribosomal RNA", at positions 26 to 521 of the family's 1533-position model. The record is from RNAcentral.
AGCCUGAACGCUGGCGGCGUGGCUAAGACAUGCAAGUCGUACGGUGUAGCAAUACACAGUGGCGAACGGGAGAGUAAUGAAUCGCUAAUGUGCCCCGGACUCUGGGAUAGCUAGUUGAAAGAUUAGGUAAUACCAGAUGACAUAUCUUUAUCGCAUGAUAGAGAUCUCAAAGGUCCGCCGGUCUGGGAGCAGGCGAUUUCGUAUCAGCUAGUUGGUGAGGUAACGGCUCACCAAGGCGACGACGCGUAGCCGGACUGAGAGGUUGGCCGGCCUCAUUGGGACUGAGACACUGCCCAGACUCCUACGGGGGGCUGCAGUAACGAAUCUUCCGCAAUGCACGAAAGUGUGACGGAGCGACGCCGCGUGUGGGACGAAGUCCUUCGGGAUGUAAACCACUGUCAGGGGUUACCAAGUUCUGAGGAGCCCCGAGAGGAAGGGACGGCUAACGUCUGUGCCAGCAGCCGCGGU